ACGUAGGGCGCGAGCGUUGUCCGGAUUUAUUGGGCGUAAAGAGCUCGUAGGCGGCUUGUCGCGUCGACUGUGAAAACCCGCGGCUCAACCGCGGGCCUGCAGCCGAUACGGGCAGGCUAGAGUUCGGUAGGGGAGACUGGAAUUCCUGGUGUAGCGGUGAAAUGCGCAGAUAUCAGGAGGAACACCGAUGGCGAAGGCAGGUCUCUGGGCCGAUACUGACGCUGAGGAGCGAAAGCGUGGGGAGCGAACAGGAUUAGAUACCCUGGUAGUCCACGCUGUAAACGUUGGGCGCUAGGUGUGGGGGACCUCUCCGGUUCUCUGUGCCGCAGCUAACGCAUUAAGCGCCCCGCCUGGGGAGUACGGCCGCAAGGCUA
RNAcentral lists this ribosomal RNA (374 nucleotides) under uncultured bacterium. Its description in RNAcentral is "bacterial SSU rRNA". It matches the Rfam family "Bacterial small subunit ribosomal RNA", at positions 525 to 896 of the family's 1533-position model. The record is from RNAcentral.